RNAcentral lists this transfer RNA (73 nucleotides) under Ligilactobacillus salivarius. RNAcentral describes it as "Lactobacillus salivarius tRNA-Gln". It matches the Rfam family "tRNA". Rfam says of the family: Transfer RNA (tRNA) molecules are approximately 80 nucleotides in length. The record is from RNAcentral. Lineage: Bacteria; Bacillati; Bacillota; Bacilli; Lactobacillales; Lactobacillaceae.
GUCAUGUGGUGUAUUCGGGUAACACGCUCGUCCUUGAAACGAGAGCAGUAAGGUUCAAGUCCUUGCUAUGACA